RNAcentral lists this transfer RNA (74 nucleotides) under Candidatus Omnitrophota bacterium. RNAcentral describes it as "tRNA-Gly". It matches the Rfam family "tRNA". Rfam says of the family: Transfer RNA (tRNA) molecules are approximately 80 nucleotides in length. Lineage: Bacteria; Pseudomonadati; Candidatus Omnitrophota. The record is from RNAcentral.
GCGGGUGUGGUUCAAUGGUAGAACAUUAGCUUCCCAAGCUAAUAGCGGCGGUUCGAUUCCGCUCACCCGCUCCA